Molecule: long non-coding RNA, 512 nt
Organism: Poecilia latipinna (sailfin molly)
Lineage: Eukaryota; Metazoa; Chordata; Actinopteri; Cyprinodontiformes; Poeciliidae
Exons: 3
Source: RefSeq, a predicted model, not a curated record
UUUUAGCUAUCCUUAUUAAUGUUGUGCAGUUUAGCUAGAUUUAAUUUUACAGUUGCUAACUGCUGCUAACUGCUCAUUGGGAGCUAUUGCUCUGUAGUUUUAGGGUUAUUUAUUGCAUUUUAUUUGAUGUAUAGGAGCAGAAGCUGCUGGACUGAUGUUAACCACCAACUUGAUUUUCUCUUUUCUUGGCGCUCAGAAGAGGAGAAGUGCGGCUCCAUCUCUGCUCCAUUCAAGCCAUUUAAACACUUGUGGACACACAAACGGCCUCCAGCAGUCAUUGGUCGCCUGUACAUCACAUGGGAGGAAGCCGGAGAAAAUGCAAAAACCUAUCCAAGUGGAGAACAUGUAAGCGCAAAACAAAACAAAAAACCCAAGUCUGGAGUUUGAACGAUUUUGCUGCAAGGCAACAGAAAACACAUCUGACAUGGUUUUCUUAUUUCUUUUUUUUUUUUUUAACUAUUGUGUUUGCAGUCAUAUUUAAUCUCUUUGUUCUGAAACCUUAAAAUAAAAUA